UUGUGAUUUUGGUCUAGAUAAAUGAGCAGUGGCAGAGCAUAUUGUCUGGACAAAAAAAAAAAGUGUCGAUCCAAAUUCUGCUAUCAGGUAAUUGGAUCUGUGCUGUUUAUCCAGACCUGUGUGGGCAGAAGUUCAGGCUGCCUCUUUUGCAGAGAGGGCUGAGAAGAAAGCCUUACUGGUGGAGGACUUUGGAUUUCUGCUUCACUCUGGGCCAAUCUCUGCACACUCAGAUGAAUUUAUUUGCACCAGAGGCAGCAGCUCUCUCCCCUCAGCAACAGCACGUGGCUCUACAGAUGGGCCGCGUGUGUCAAUAUGGACCUAAGUGUGAAGUUUGAAAUGAUUUCCCCUCCUUCUUCCCUGACACAAAGGUCUCCUGGGGAGGAACUGGUUACCGAGUCGAAAAAAAUGUAAGUUUUGUGCAGCAGAGCCUGCUCUCUGAAGAGAGGGAAAGCUUUGUUUCUGGCUUGCGGGAUGGCAGAACAGCAUUUCCAAGCAGAAGAUAGGCCAUCUGCGCUUUCAGGCGCUUCAGCUUAUGUCCCCAGAGCCAGGCUGUGUGCUGGUGAAAAGAAAAUAAAAAGCCCAUGGCAUGUUAAAACUGACAGCCCACAGCCCGGGUGGGUGUAAUGCAGUAGCACACGAGCACAUUUUGGGGUUGUGAUUUGAAGCUGAGUGGUGCCUCUUACUUCCGAAUGGUCCUAAGGGAUGUCUGUGGGGCGAGAUGGCUGUGCUGGUGGCAGUGUGGAGGAACAAAGGCUGGGUGCAUGUUUCUCAGGAGAUGGCAUCAUUGUACGUUUCUGCCAUUGUGGUUUUGGAGAGAGUUUACACCAGUUUGGCUAUUUCCACCAUCAUUUAAUCACAGCAUCUGCAGAAGCGGGACUGCAAAGUCACAGCUGGUUCGGGCAGGCAAAACCUGCCAGGGGUCCUGCAUCACUGCUCUGUGCUAGACCUCAGCCACCAAACCUGGUGCGAUGAUUCCCAAGUGAAAAAUUUUCAACUAGAUUUAGCAGCAGCGGACCAUCCACCGUAUUAUCUUCACUCUGCCAACAGCAGGCUUGAAUCAGCAUGCUGUAAGUUGGUCAAAUGCAACUGAACUCUGUGUCCCCUAAACUGUCCCUGUGAUCUCCAGCCCCCGGGGAUAAGCACUGGGCUAACUAAUUCUGCUUAAAUGUCCAGCUGCAAACCAGCUUGCUUGAACCUUCUAAGAAGAGCUGCUACCUAAACUUGCACUACUGCUAGGAUGAGUGUGUUUGCUUGGAUGGAAGUAGGAGAUAAGCGUAUAAAAGAUAAGAACCAGUAGCAUCUGCGUACUAAAAGACAUUUUAAAGAAAUGCUCAUUUCACAUAAAUUUAUAUGUAAGUCUUCUAAAAAAAAGACACUCUUCUUACAUAAAGAUGAAGACAGCGAUCUUAAGUGCAUUACUGAAAUUAGGGUUAUUAAUUUGAAUAUGUUUCAGAUACCUCUGCUCACUGAAAGCCGUUCAUAGCACUGUUCAGACAAAUGGCUGGUGACUGGUUUUCCACUCAUCUCUUGAAGAUAUCAGUAUCUAGAAGAUUCCUGUGAUCUGUUCAGGUAUGCUGAAACAGGCAAAGAAUUCCUUAAAUUAUGUAAGCUCCAGAAACAUCAAAAACAGUGGUUUAUUUCCUGAUUCAAAGAUGAGUGCAUAUGUGCUGCAUGCACAAUGCAUGAUAUGCUCCAUAUAAACAGUAUUGAGCUCUUAGAAAGUGUUUUGGUGUCCUAAAAGGAUUUUUUUUUUUAAUAAAUAAACAAUUAAAC
Molecule: long non-coding RNA, 1773 nt
Organism: Gallus gallus (chicken)
Lineage: Eukaryota; Metazoa; Chordata; Aves; Galliformes; Phasianidae
Source: Ensembl